Molecule: long non-coding RNA, 8137 nt
Filed under: Coffea arabica (coffee)
Lineage: Eukaryota; Viridiplantae; Streptophyta; Magnoliopsida; Gentianales; Rubiaceae
Description: long non-coding RNA (CARA_LNC001901)
Source: RNAcentral
GGAAUCGAAUUCCGCUUCCUCGCAAUAUCCUAGAAUAUCAAAUAUUGAAAUUAUAAGCUUUUAUUCAGUCUUUAGACUCGAACACAUUGAGGUUUAUCUAAUAUAUUGCUAGUUUACUUUCCCAUAGUAAUUUCAAAAAUCUACUUAGAUUGAAACUUGACACAAAUAGUAGAAAUGUUUCUUAUAAUUUUCCUUGAGGUACUUUUCCUUAUAAAAAGGGUAACUAGUAUAAAUUUUCUGGAAAUAAGUCGACAAACCUCUUAAUAUCAAUGUUAGAAAGUUACUUUGAACAUUUCUUUAAAGCUAUGGUUCCUGCAAAAAUUAUUACUAAAACUAUUUUACCCUAAAAUAAGGUUUCUUGCCGAGCAAGUUUCCCAUGCUUUUCCCCAGAAUUAUUACAACUCGUAUUUUGGAACUUUUCCUAUAGUUAACUAUAGCUUAAGGAAAGAAAAUGAAUUAAAAUAAGACUUAGAAUUUUCAAAAGCUAUAUAACUUAUUUACUAAUCGAGGCUAGUUUGAGCUAAAGGAAAUUAUCGAGUUGGAAAGUUUUAUAAUAUAAUACUAGCUGGAAAAAUAUUUCUGAUUAAUUUGAUCACAGCUACUCAAGUUCGCAAGGUCGAUACAACUUCCACAGCUCCGAUUCCGUUUCGAAAUUAUAAUAUGGAUCAAAAUAUGACAAAAAUCACAUAGCAAAUUACUAGGGCUUCGUCAAUCAUUAGCCCUAGAUUUCAACAAGUGCAUUUCUGAAUAAAAUAAAAUGAUCAACCAAGGCUUCAUCAAUCAUUAGCACUUGGUUUCAGCAAGCCCAUCAUAAGCAACUAAAAAUAAAAUAAAAGUAAAGCCUCCAAGACAUUCCAGCAAUUAACUUUCGUCACCCUGUAGUACUUAGAAAAUCAUUCAAAUGGCCAAGAGCUUCAUCAAUCAUUAGCUCUUGAUAGCAACCAAUCACUUUCAAACCAAAAUUUCAACUAGAAACAAGGAGUAAAGUCACGGCUAAUUUAACGCUUAAAUAACUCGAGAAAUUCAGAUUACCACCAUAGCAUUUUACUAGGCUCAAUGCCAUUCACAUACCAGAAAAUUUUAGCAUGUAAGCUUCACUUGAAAUUCAGAAAUUCAAAUCACAGAUAGGCCCAACAUUCGAUUCAAGUCAAAAUUCAUUUUCCUGAAGAAACAGGACAUUAAGUCAAGACAGCCUACUUUGAGGAGUCACGUACAGCCGUACACAUGGAGGAAAAAUAUAAAAUUUCUACAGAACCAAGGCCCAUGUUUCUAGUUUCAAAUGCCACUGACGGCACCUUAAACGGAUUUUUCUACACCAAGAUAUAAGCAUUUUACUGAAAUUGGUCAGGGACAUCCAAAAAUCUGAAAUGUCAUUUUUCACAUGUGAAAAACUCCUUUUUCUCUUUUUGCACCAAAAUGUUUUUAUUCAAACCAUCCAUACAUUUCUUAUAUAAUUCCAAAACAACAUAUUCCAGGCAUUUCCAUCCCUCAUGAUUUGAAGGAAAUUUUCGAAACUAAGUUGAGCUUCCAACUCAACCUUCGGCCAUCACAAAGGAAAUUCCAGCAUUUGUAUACUAACCUCUUUAAUUCAAUCCUUCAAUAUAUUAAAUAUUUCCUCGCCAAACCACUUAAAUUUUGCAUCUCUUAUGUAGCUCAAGACCAUCAUAGUCCAAGGAAACAAUAAAAUUAAAUGUUCAGAAACCAUUUAAACUUUCUAAAGGCAAACUGAAAUUUCUGGUUCAACCUUGCUUGCGGCUUCAAAGAUUUCCAGCAAACAAUUCAACUUUAGUUCAAAUUUCCUUGGUUUAAACAUGGUGUUAGUUACUCAAUUCAACAUUUUAAACACCUAGUUAGUUACUAAAAUUUUCCACUUUCAAAAUUGAGUUCAAACUAUCAUUAUUAACAUCAAAAUUUCCAGAAAUUUUCCUGCUUGGGCUCGGGUGAUCAUGCCUUGAAGCAGAAUGUACUCUUAACCUUUAUUUCUCUGAUUUAAAACUUACUAAUCAACUACAUGCAGGGCCUAAUUAACUUGUUAUUAGUCAUCUAAUCAUGGUUAUAAGUUUAAACAACAACACUAAACCAAAUCAGGUUGCAAAGCUUUAAGCUAAGCUCUCGGCCAAACCAGAAAUUCUUCCAGCAUUUGUUUAGUCACAAACCAUUUUUUUUCUAUGGUUAAUUCCUGUAUUUUGCACUUAAUUUCACAUGCACAACUGCUGAAUUUAACUAGCUAUCAUAUCCAGACCAGAAAUCAGUUUGAUAGCAACCAAAUUGAACCAAGUUAAGCUGUAAUAAUUAAGCUAGGCUCUCGGCAGAAUUUUCUUACCCCAAACUAACCCAGAAAUUUAUCUCUGCUUUAACACUUCAUUCGAAUGCCCAAUUCAUCAUACAUGGUCUUAAUCUUCCAAUUCUUACUCAGCUAAAGACAUUUGGGUGUUCAGAUUAUCACACAAAACAAAAUUGGAGCUGCAAUAACACCUCAAGUCUCGGUAGCAACAAUUUCUCAAAACAGAAAUUUUCCUAAGGUUUUGAUUUCAGCAUCCGAUUGUAUAAUCUAAACAUGUAAUCUCUGAUAUAGCUUGAUCAACUAAUAAUCAACCUAUUUUAGACCAGAAAUUACCUCAGCUAGCAACCAAUCUUUCACACGAAAUUCCAGAAAUUUCCUUCCUAGCUCUCGGCCAAGUGCAGAUGGUGAUUCUGGUUUGGAGUUGCGGCUGAAAAGGGUUGUGGAUGAAGGUAGAAUUGGUGAAGCUUCCGGCAGAUUCCCUUCCCUGGCUUUGCUCCAACUCACGGCUGAAUCCAAGAAGUUUCCGGCAGCUCUCUCCCUCUCUCGGUGCUCUCGGUCAAGGCAGGGAAGAAAUGAGGUUUUGUUGUGAAUCAAGAAUGAAAGAGUAGAGUGGUAUUUGGAGUGAAGUUGAUUUCGACUUUGGUUUGUGCAGAGAAAGAGUCGGCUGAAAUGGUUGUGAGAUGUAGUGUGAAUUUGAUCAAGUGGUUUUGUGGUGCCGCGGUUUACGAAAGGUUGCGUAUCGAAUUGGUUAAAAUGCAAUUGGUCGAAGUUGCGGUGAUGGGAAUUUGUCAUAAGGGUCGUUUGGUUUCGCAUGGAAUUGUAAGGUCUUUUGGUCUUUUCACUUGGUUUCCUAAUCUCAACUUAAUUUCUCAAAUUUAUCCUCAAGGGUGAUUUGAACGCCUAAUAACCCCUCCCAAUAUACUUAACCAUUUUUAUCGAAUAAAUAUCGAUUAAACUUAAAUAUUAAGGUUCCUAACAUUAUAUAGCGAUUAACUUAAUUAUCCGCAUCUCCAAUUGUUUAUUCUCAAGAAUUAAAGUUAUCCUACACAAAAUUUAUCGAAUUUUCAUGCCUUAAGUAUGUUUAGUAUAGGAAUAUCAUAUUUAUCUAAAAUUCAUUGAUUUUUAUCUUAACGCGGAAAUUCCUAUAAACAUUUAACAUUAUUAACGAUUAAAACUAGCUAUCGGAAAUCAAAGAAUUUAUUUUAAAGUAAUAGAAUUAAUCCAACUCAAGAAAUAUUAAUUUAGUAUAGCAAAACCGAAUAAUUCAAUAUUGGCACAAUUAUAUUAUUUAUUACAUAGAAAUUAUCUUUACCCUUUUAUUUCAAAACAAUUAAUUACAAUACUAGAAUUCAAAAAAAUUAAUUAUUAGAUCAAUGAAAUAGUUUACCAUUGAAAUAUGAAGUUAAUGUAACAAAACUAAGAAGUUUAGUAGUUUAGCACAAUUCUUUUAUUUUGCACAUAACGUUUAUUUCUACGUACUUACUUAAAAACAAUUGGACUUAGUGCUAAAAUUUAUUAAAGAAUUAAAAUGCAAAUAAAAUAUGCACUGAUAUUUAUAUGUCUAUUUUCAGGGUUCUCACAUCCUCCCCUCCUUAAAAUGAAUUUUGUCCUCAAAAUUCUUACUUUCUUGAGAAACAAAUCGGAAUACUUUUUCUGCAUUUCUUCUUCUAACUCCCAAGUUGCUUCUUCGGAAAUCCAAAGUUCCAAUACUUUUGUUCUGCAAUCAAGCUUAGCAUGGUGAUGAGCUAGAAAAUUCUUUCAUAUAAUAACAUCAUAACCUCGUAUGUCCAAUUUGAUUAGAUCCACUAGUAUUUUAUGCCCUUCAAUCCAGAAUUCACAGUUAUUAUAAGUUAAGCUACUGAUUAAAAUCUUAUUACCCAUUGAUGUUUUAACUUCAAGGUCAAGGGUAAUCUAACAGGUUUGACGUUAACUCCGGAUGGAAAAGUUUGGUUCACAAAUGAAUGAGUUGCGCUAUGAUCAAUUAACACUCUAGCUAAUUGAUGAGAAAUGGGAAGAGUACCUUCCACGGCUUCCGAAGAAUCAGGUACAGGUUGGUCAUUUAUAGCGUAAACCCUGGUAGGAACUUUCGGCCUAUUCUCUCUAAUGUUGGCUGGUUCAUCAUUCAGGGUAUUAUCCUCUUGUAUUUUCGGGCAACCGGCAAUUUGGUGCUCGCUGCUUCCACACUUCAAGCACUUUCCUGCUUUCCUCCAGCAACCGGCCUCGGUAUGUCCAGGUUUCUUGCAAUACCCACAAGUUCCCAGGAAAGUUAUCGCACGACUUCCUUGUGGAGCGUUCCUAGGUUGACCUCUUCCAUUUGGUCCCCCGUUAGUUCCAUUAUUUCUUCCUCCGGCACCUCUGGCACCAGUUCCUCGACCCACUUUGGCCAGUGGAGCAUUUGUAUAAGUCGGCUCCCGACUGCUGCUAGGUGCAAAUCUUUUCUUGGCCUGGUAAGUUUUUACUUGAGUUCUAGCAACUUCAACCCUUUGAGCUCUUUCUACAGCAUCAGCAAAUGUGUCUAUCCGAACAGCAGCUAAUCCCUCCUGAAUUUCCACGUUUAGUCCCUGCACAAACCUCCGGACACGCCUUUGUUCCGUGGCUAUCAGUUCAGGAGCAAAUCGGGACAAUUUUGUGAACUGGACUUCAUAUUCGGCGACACUCAUCGCCCCUUGUUUACAUUUUAUGAAGUCGUCCUCUCUCUUUUCUUGAAUGAGAGGUGGAAGAAAUUUGGCGUUGAACUCCCUUGUGAAGUUCGCCCAGGUCCUGGGAAUAUGAUUCCUGUCCCAAUUGACCCUAAUUAGGUUCCACCAGGAACGAGCAGCUCCUUCAAACUGGAAUGCUGCAAAAGUCACUUGCCUCUCUUCCGUAUAAUUUAGAGCGGCAAAAAUAUCAGAGAUCCUUUCCCACCAACCUUCGGCUACCUCAGGUUCUGGGCCUCCGUAGAACUUAGGAGGUCCAAACUUCAGGAAUCUCUCUAAUGCCCGAUCCUCGUAAUCGAUUGGGCCUCCUUGCUGAUGCACCGCUCCAUGGGCUUGAUGCUCAGUCAUGCGCUCUAACACAUCAGUUAUUCUAUUGAUUGCGGUGGCCACUGGAUCUCCGGCCACGUUUCCCUGACCAUGGCCUGGGUUGGCCUCAGGUUCCCUAUCACUACCACCCUCGGGGUGUUGCCUAGUUGGUCUCCCACGUCCUCUAUUUCUAACUUGUAGAUCCAUAGCCUAGUUAUGCCUAUUGAUAAAAAUAAAGUGAUCAAGCGAAGAUGUUGCUAUUUAUUUACUUGUUAUUAUUAAGUGAAGUCAACAUGAAUACCAAGAGAAAGAAAAUUUAAAACACUUAAAGCAUAUAUUCACAUACCAAAGUUCAUACAACUUUAAAAGCCAAACAAUUCACGGUACAUUUAAUAUUUUCACACAUAACUCAUAUUUCGAUCUUUAUAAACAUGAAGGAAAGCAAGUCAAUAAUACACCGAUUAUUAUAACCACAUAACUAAUAGCUCAACCCUUAGUUUAGAUUCAACUUAACCUUCAUUAGUUUAGUCUUUGACAAUCCCACUAGGCCCCACUCAUUCUUCCGAUUUCGCUUCCAUAAAUUCCUCUUAAAUACGUAAUUGGCACUAAUCUUCAAGAUCACACCAUUGGCUCUUUACCUUUAACUUUCAAAAGUUAGACUUGAUUCCUUCAAUCCUACUUUUCCAAACUUAGUCAUGAUUUCUAGUCACAUCAUAAUGCGAUAUACUGAAUUCUUUUCAAUUGCAAAUACACCAUUUAAUGAAAUAUCUGGUAUUCGGGUACAAGAAUCUGACUAUAGGAUAAUUCACACCUCAGGCUGGCCAGUCCCAAGAGUAACUUACCUAUAUUUGAGAUUCCUACCCAACAUACAUGUCUAAUAUCCCAACUAUAAACUUUUGUUCCACACUUAACGAGUCAAUCCCCACAGUCCGAGAGUCCUCUCCCGGCACGAGCUCGAUAAGAGCUCUGAUACCACCUGUGGCGACCCCACUUUCCCCUAAGGCGAACCAAAGGGUUGGCGGGCCGUCUGCCCAUCUCUCGCCAGGACUCAUGCAAGCAUUCUAACCUAAAACCUUGGAGUAAUAAACUACUCUGUUACAAAACAAAUUUUCCCGAAUAAGAUCAUCCUUACAUCCAACUUAACUUCAGAGAUAGCAGAGAUAAAUUAGCCAGUCGAGGCUCUUAAACAUCCCACGUGCUACGUACCAAAAUAUAAAGUCGUACCAAUCCGGGUAGAUAAAUACAUAAAUCUCUAUUACAAAUUUACAGGCCAAGUAAUCGAAUUAGGGUUUACCCAUUUUCCCGUUUCAAGUGGCAACCCAAAAGAAAAGUGCAUUAUCUCAAUAACACAUUACAGCCCACAGAAUAAGUUAUAGCAUUCAAAUACAAUCCAAAAGGAAAACUUAAGUAAGCAUCCAGCUUUCAGUUUCCAGAACCUGUUAAGGAAAACAAUAAACGUGGGGUGAGCUAAAGCUCAGUGGUGCCCCAAAAACAUGCAAUCAAUUAAAACAAUUAACACGUAUUGAUUCGAUUGAAGUAAACAAAUAGGAAGGCGAUAAUACCCAAGUGUACCUUAGACUGGUCGAGGGAUUCACCCAACGACGUUACGUCCUGAACUUACAUUAUUAUUAUAGACUCGUCGAGGGAUUCACCCAACGACUUUACGUCUAGCACUUGAUUGAUUAUUAUUGACUCGUCGAGGGAUUCACCCAACGACUUUACGUCUAGCACUUGAUUUAUUAUUAUUGACUCGUCGAGGGAUUCACCCAACGACUUUACGUCUAGCACUUGAUUGAUUAUUAUUGACUCGUCGAGGGAUUCACCCAACGACUUUACGUCUAGCACUUGAUUCACAAAAAAAAUGUUUUACGCAAGUCACCACUCGAAAGGCUAGUGUGAUAAAGUACACAUUGCUCACUUCGAUGGGUCAAAACCACUUCAUAGUUAUAAUAUAGCAAGUUAAUAAAGCGCUUAACCACAUAACAUAAAACAAGCAGGGACACUCACCAAGAGUGAAGUUCAGAUGUCAAGUUGGGAAUCGAAUUCCGCUUCCUCGCAAUAUCCUAGAAUAUCAAAUAUUGAAAUUAUAAGCUUUUAUUCAGUCUUUAGACUCGAACACAUUGAGGUUUAUCUAAUAUAUUGCUAGUUUACUUUCCCAUAGUAAUUUCAAAAAUCUACUUAGAUUGAAACUUGACACAAAUAGUAGAAAUGUUUCUUAUAAUUUUCCUUGAGGUACUUUUCCUUAUAAAAAGGGUAACUAGUAUAAAUUUUCUGGAAAUAAGUCGACAAACCUCUUAAUAUCAAUGUUAGAAAGUUACUUUGAACAUUUCUUUAAAGCUAUGGUUCCUGCAAAAAUUAUUACUAAAACUAUUUUACCCUAAAAUAAGGUUUCUUGCCGAGCAAGUUUCCCAUGCUUUUCCCCAGAAUUAUUACAACUCGUAUUUUGGAACUUUUCCUAUAGUUAACUAUAGCUUAAGGAAAGAAAAUGAAUUAAAAUAAGACUUAGAAUUUUCAAAAGCUAUAUAACUUAUUUACUAAUCGAGGCUAGUUUGAGCUAAAGGAAAUUAUCGAGUUGGAAAGUUUUAUAAUAUAAUACUAGCUGGAAAAAUAUUUCUGAUUAAUUUGAUCACAGCUACUCAAGUUCGCAAGGUCGAUACAACUUCCACAGCUCCGAUUCCGUUUCGAAAUUAUAAUAUGGAUCAAAAUAUGACAAAAAUCACAUAGCAAAUUACUAGGGCUUCGUCAAUCAUUAGCCCUAGAUUUCAACAAGUGCAUUUCUGAAUAAAAUAAAAUGAUCAACCAAGGCUUCAUCAAUCAUUAGCACUUGGUUUCAGCAAGCCCAUCAUAAGCA